GCCAGCACUGUUCCAUUAGCCUACUUUCCACUUAAAUGCAAGAUUAAAUCUUGGCCACUCAUUAUGUUUAAUCCAAUGUCCAAUACUUACUCCCCACCACCAUAUAAAAACCAAAUUAACAUCUAAAACCCUAGGGGGGACUUUGGGGGAGCAGCAAGGCAGAGAACGGACUACCCUAGGACAACCGCCUCCCCCUCCUGAACUUUUUGAUCUUCUUUCUUUGAAUCUCUAAGGGACCAGCAGAGAAUUCACCUGAACAUAGGGAAAAGAGUGACGAGAGGGAGAGAAAUAGAGGGAACGAUAUAGUGAGAACGAGAGUGAGAAGGGAACGACCAGAAUUUCAUUAAAAGAAAUGGAAAAACGCUACAGAGAGGCUACGUGAGUUUGAUCACGCACUAAAAAAGACGAACGGAAGUACUGUCCUUCAAAUUUUGGUUUUAAAAAUGGAGGUCACCCGAGGUUGUGUUUGAUUCGAGGUUUCCGGUCCGGGUUCGUGAGCUUGAAGCAACCGUUGAUGUGCACUUGAUUUGGAUCUCUAUUGUUUAAUAUUUAAUAUAAAAGGAAGAUUCGUCAAAGGUUUAUUCCUUCCCUUUCCUCUGUUUUUUGAUUUAUCUCCCGUGAGUUGUUUGUGUUUGUUUGCAAUCCAUGCUUUAAUUGUCAUUUUGUGAAUGACUUGCAAAUUUACGUGUGUAUUGAAUCUUGGGAAUACAUGUUGACAUGUUAGUAGAAUGGAGACAGUAGGUGCCCGUAGAGGACAUUUCCGAUUAAAUGAACUUGGGCCAUGGGAGUUCGAACAGAAUGUUAGACUUUGGAUAUUUUUUCUUCUUGUCAUUUUAUUUUAUUUAAUUGGAUCGCUAGGAGUAUGUUAGGCCGAUAACACCUGGGUAGGCAAAUUUUAGGACUUUAUAUUUUAUUUGAGGUUAGAGGUUGUCUCGUAGUUUAUUAUUUUAUCCGGGGUAUGCCCCGUAAUGAAUGUAAUUGGAGGCCGUGACAGACAUCGUGGAGUGAGCAUAGUAUAGACUUUUAGUAUUUUCCUCUUAUUUUAUUUUUUUUAUUAGGUGGGGACGACCUCGAACCUCUUUUGUGUUGAUUUUUGCUUUUGUGUGUUUCUGCCUCAAUCUGAGUAUUCUUUAAAGCCAACUAAAUCGUGUAUGCAACCGUGACUUUCACGGGACUUGGGGAAUGCCUAACACCUUCUCCCCGAGUCAAAUGAACCCCAUUACCUAUAAUUUCUGGUGCAGUCAGUUUUAGAGUCAAAUGUGUUUUGAAGAAAAAUUAUUAUUUUAAAAAUGGUGACCUGGCACACCGAAACCAAAUAUCAGGUGGCGACUCUGAAAAUCCUUCGAAACGCAAUCUUUUUGUCACUUUCAUGAUUGAAAACCCUUUUGUGCUUUAAAACUACUUUAUCCUUUAAAGAGGGUUAAGUGAAGUGAAAAAGGGGUGUGACACAAGCCACUCUCAUAGCUAGGACCUCCCAUGUAGUAGCUUUCUUCUCAAAAAUCCGAGAAUUCCUUUCAAUCCAUAGUGUAUGACUAUACUGUGCAUAAACUAGCUUAAAAACUCUUGCCAGCUGAGAUCUGCCCUUUGUUUUUAUAACUAUCCAUUGAUGAUUUGUUACCCAUGAUUCUAUAGGAGAAUAUUGAAUGUGCAGCCAGUUCAUGAGUUUGUGCUAUAGGUAUUUGCCAUAUUCACAUUCAUCAAAUAAGUGGUCUCGCGUCUCUGGCUCUUGAUGGCAAAAACAACAAGUGUCUUCUAUCUGCAUUCCCCAUUUCUUUAGUCUAUAAGCUGUUAAUACUCUUCCCUGCACCUGAAGCCACAUGGUGAAGAUGACUUUUGGUGUUGCCUGGUUUUGACACAUCAAUCCUUCCCAUGGAACUUUUGGUAAUAUGCCUAGUUGCUGUAGGUACACUUGCUUUGUAACUGUGCCUUGUGACAAGUUGUUAAUACUGUGCAAUCUGUCCCUUGCCUCAAACACCUUUCGAACCAUCCAACAUGCUUGCUUUGGUACUCCUAUAUCCAUAAACUCUUGCUCUUUGAUGUAGUAACUAUGAAUCCAUCUGAUCCAUAACUUAUCCUUCUUGUUAGCCAACUCCCAACAGGUCUUAGUAAUAGCAACUUUGUUCCACAUAGCCAAGUUGAUCAAGUUCAAUCCUCCAGCAGCUUUUGGAGAGCAUAUCCUAUCCCAUGUCACGAAAGACUUUUUAGUUAUUGUAUUCACCCCAGACCAUAUAUAACUUCUAUAGUGUGCUUCAAUUACUUUGAUGACUUUAGCUGGUAUAAUAAAGAUUUGAGCCCAAUAGGCUUGAGUGCCAAAGAUAACUGUUUGGACUAACUGAAUUCUGCCUGCAUAGGACAGUUUCUUUGAUGUCGAUGAAGAAAUCUUGCUCACAAUUUUGGCAAUAAGGGGUUGCCACUGCAGCACCGAAAGCUUCUUCGUAUCAAGAGGUAUGCACAAGUAUUUGAAAGGAAGCACUCCUUGACUCUACCCUAGAGCUUGCUGGAUCUCAUGUUUCAUUUCAUUGUUAACUCCUCCAUAAUAUAUUGAUCUUUUGGCUAGAUUUGCUUUAAGGCCUGAGGCUUCUGUAAAAGUGUUAAACGUUUGAUGCAAUAGGACAACAGAUGUAGUAUCCCCUCUUGUGAACAAAAGAAGAUCAUCAGCAAAGCUCAAGUGAGUAAGGUCCAAUCUAGAACACAUAGGAUGAUAAUGGAAGGUUUUCUCUCGCUUGAGUGUCUUCAGAUUCCUACUCAGAUACUCCAUUGCUAUGCCAAAGAGGAAUGGGGACAUAGGAUCUCCUUGUCUAAACCCUCUAGCUGCAUCAAAUGGCUUAGUUGUCUCUCCUUUGAUAAGAAUGCUAUAGUUCACUAUUGACACACACUGUAUGAUCUAGUUGGUAAAUUGCAGUGGAAAUCCUAGACAUUCUAAUAUUUGGUGCAAGCACCUCCAGUCAACUGUAUCAUAGGCUUUCUGUAUGUCCACUUUAAUGAGGCAUCUUGGAGAAAUAUUCUUCCUUGAGUUAGCCUUAACUAACUCAUGGGCCAAUAGGAUAUUGUCUGCUACUUUCCUGCCAGGAAUGAAGCCAGCUCGGGUGUCUGACACAACUGAUGCAAUAACUCUUUGGAGUUUGUUUGCAAGAAUUUUGGCAAUUAAUUUGUACAGAACAAUGCAUCAAGCUAUAGGUCUAUACUCCUUGAUACUUGUAGGAUGGGGAACCUUAGGAAUCAAGGUGAUGGCUUUGCAAUUGAUUGCUCUUAAAAGCUUGCUCGUUUGAAAGAAAUCCAUCACAACAUGUCACAAUUCUGGUCUGAUCAAUGCCCAAGUUCUUUUGAAAAAUAAUGCAUUGUAGCCAUCAACACUGGUGCUUUAUCAUCUCCAAUUGCACACAAUGCUUCAAAUAUUUCUUGUUCAGUGACCUCAGCACAGAGGCUCACUUGCUGAGAAUUAUAGAGGCAAUUAUUUCAUCCUAGAUCUGUUUCUGGUCAAUGAGUCUAUCUCCAAAGGCAUUAGUAAGUUCAACACUAACUUUUUUAUGACUCCACUCCUUCAUAACAUCUGAGAAGUUUUUUGUGUUAGAGUCACCAAGCUUUAUCCACUUAGCUCUGGAUUUCUGCUGAAGGAUGCUUUCCUCUAUUACUGACCACCUUUCCUGCUCUUCAAGUAAUGUUUUCUCCUCUAAUGCAACUGCAUCAUUAUAGCCUCUACUCAGUAUCUCUUGGGAAUCCUGAAGCUUGUUUAUGAUAUGCUCUAUUUUAGAUGUAACUCCUUUGAACUCAUUGUUAUUAAGUUGCUUCAAUUCAGACCUGAGAACCUUCAGCUUACACCAGAUAUCUUUCAUGGUAUCUGAAUGCAGUUGUGUCUGCCAGACUUCAUCAACCACUGAUAAGAAGUAUUCAUGAUCAGUCCAAAUAUUAAAGAACUUAAAUGGAAUCUUACCACUGGAUUCAGCUCUCCUAAGAGUGAUCAUCAUGGGAGCAUGAUCUGAGAUAAAAGGAAAAUUUUAAUCCACCUCCAUAUGUCCAAAUGUGAAAUCCAUUCAUCAUUUCCAAUAGCUCUAUCAAUCCUGCUAAAAACUCCAUCUCCACUUUGUUGCUUAUUAGACCAGGUAUGGUAAUCCCCCUUCCAAGGUAAUUCACAUAAGUUCAAACAUUGCAUGCAGUUUGUAAAGUCUUGAAUUUGAUUACUAGUUAUUGGAUUCCCAUAUAAUCUAUCGUGUAUAUUUAGGACUAAACUAAAAUCUCCCUAAAUAAGCCAAGGCUUGCUGAUCUGUGUAGCAAGUUUUUGCAGUUGCACACAGAGAGGCUUUCUCAGCUCAAUUGUAUUAAACCUAUAAAUGACUGUCAUGGCACAGUUCAGUUGAUUCAACCUUCCUCUAACAUCACAAUGCAUAACUUGAGCAGACUGGUCUAUUACUGAAACAUCAUAGGAGGAAGGAUUCCAUAGUAUCCAGACCCUUCCAUUAGCAGCAUGAUCAUAUUUAAACCUUUCUUGCCAACCUGGCAUUACCCUAUUAGCAAUGCCAUCAUCCUUAUAUUUUUUAACUCUAGUUUCUACUAAAUCAACUAAUUUGAUAUUAUUCUCUUUGAUAUAGGUACCCAACUCUUUUGCUUAUAACAUUUGUUGGUACCUCUAAUGUUCCAAACCAACCAAGACAUCAGGUAGAUUUGGAUGUACCACAUGUAGAUGGUACUGACAAAUUAGCCAUCACUGCUACAUUUGUCUGUUGGCUUGAUCUUUGCUUACCAGGUGACAUAACUAUUUAUGCAUAUUUCAGGGGUAUGCCAUUUAUUUCUGUUACUUUCUUCCCUUUAUCAUGAUUUUUUUGCUGGCCUUCUUCAAGAAUUGGUUCUGCUUCUCUACUCACAUCAUCACAUGUAUUAAGCCCUUGUUGAUUCAACAUCAUUGUCUUCCCCUGAAUAACAUUGUGUGUAGGAGCUAACACAACUCCUGUAGUCUUCCAUACUUGCUUCACAGGCUAUGGCCUACUUCUUUAGGCUGUUGAACUUGAUUUACCUCCUCUUUGCAAGCCUUUGUGCAGUCAUGACUAAUUUUUAAGCACUUUAUUUCCAUGAAAUCUGUCAUAAAUAAACUCUAUGAACUUCCCCACUAAUGCCCCGCAUGGCGCAUUGGAGAAGGUGUUUUCGUAUGGGCCCGACCCUACUUUGUAUAAAUACAUAUAAAAAUGUGAUUUUAUGGACUUUUGACACAUCUUAGACCUAAGUAAGCCAAGGAGGAGGUGGAGAAGCAAAAACUCAAGGAUUUCAUCAUUCGAUCCUCAAUCAAGACAAGGGUUUGGAUUGUUUUAUGCUUUCCUUUAACUUAAACAUUGUUACUCCUUAUCCAUGGAGUAGUUCUCUUUAGGGUUUGAUGGAUUUGGUGUCUUGAUACUUGUUUGUGGAUAAUUAACUCUAGUUCUUAUGUAUUGAAUCGUUGUGGAUGUUUUAACUGUUGCAUCUAUAUUCAUUUGUUUUGUAAUCGAGACAGGCAUAACUUGUGACAUUGUUGCAUUUUAUUUUGUUGGUUGAAAUCAUUAAUUCUUCUUAGUAAUCGGAAGAGGAUAGUUGAAUUGUUGAUUAAACUUAAUUAGGAGGAUAAUCG
RNAcentral lists this long non-coding RNA (5593 nucleotides) under Nicotiana tabacum (common tobacco). RNAcentral describes it as "long non-coding RNA (NTAB_LNC003519)". Lineage: Eukaryota; Viridiplantae; Streptophyta; Magnoliopsida; Solanales; Solanaceae. The record is from RNAcentral.